Leopardus geoffroyi (Geoffroy's cat) is the source of this 1296-nucleotide long non-coding RNA. RefSeq lists it as uncharacterized. The transcript is spliced from 5 exons. The record is from RefSeq and is a predicted model, not a curated record. NCBI's taxonomy places the organism in Eukaryota, Metazoa, Chordata, Mammalia, Carnivora, Felidae.
AGGAUGCGUGUUGUCUUCUACGUCACUGAGAAAGGAUACUUCCAAAUCACUUGGACCUGAUGUUUUAAGUCUCUUAAAAGUUAUUUUUUGUUGCUAGUUUAAAUGCUCUUCUCUAUUUAAUUGGCAGGUAUUUUAUCACUCUUGGGCUUAUGUAUAAAGGGAAAAUUAUGAGUGGAUUAAAUGGGUGAAAGUAUCCCUAAACCUUCUUCAGAUUCAGAGUCACUUUGUGAUUCAAAAUCAUCAGGUAGGUAAUUUUCCAAAGAGCACUGCCCUCCAUGUCAUCAAGAUUAUAGGUGAUACAGCAGUUCUUAAAAGAAUCCUUAAAAAGAACCGAGACAUGUUUGCUGAAUGUUCCUUCUGCCUUUGCGGUGAUGCAGCGCUGGCCUCCUGUUGAUGCCUGCUUUCAGAGUAUUGCUAAAUACCUCUGAUUUGGCAAUUCUGUCACCCUUUCUGCACAACCAUUUGAUUCCUGGGGACUCAAAAAAAUGAUCUCCGCUUCUAGGAUUUUCUUCCCAGCCACUGACACCCAUCCUGGGAGUUGUGAUGCUGAAUCUGUCCACCACAACACUGCCUGAGUGAUCGAACACGCAAGCCUGAUAUUGUCAACCCCACUUUAAAUUCUUCUUUGGCUUCUACUGCAUUUUGGGGAAAUGACCCUCACCUCCAGCCCAGCAUACAAGGUUCAUCUCCACCUGGAUGCAUUUAAUAAAAGCAGACCAAAGCUACUGAAGUUCUCACUCUGCAAAGGCAGCAAAAACAAAGAAUACAAUGUUAUUCGAUCAAUGAUGUGGAUCGAUAGAGCCUUAAAUCUGGAGUCUGAAGACCGAGAACAAUAUCCAGGUUUCAAAAGGACACAGAAUGUGUUCCAACUUCCCUCUGAUACAGUUCUAAAUUAAGCGCCGUGGAAGGAAAGUUAGAUGAAACUUCUUGGGUGCUUUUGCAAAAAGGUUACCCACAAGGCUGUAUGCAUGACUGGAAAUGAGGUGGCUUCAGAAAUGCAGCAGGCAUUGGACAAGGACUGUGAGAAACAGAGAUGAACCAGGGCGCCUACCCUCAAAAGGCUCACAAAAUGGGAUCCUCUUACAAUGGGCCUAAUGCCAUAUUUCCAGUGAGAAAUAACAGGAAAUAAUUGUACCUGAAACCACUGAGAAGGCUUUCCAGGGAGCAUGUGCUUUCAAGGGUGGAUGGAGUGAGGGACUUGAGGGCACAUGAGGAAACUCUCACAGCCAGAGGGAACAGAGCAUGCAAAGGGAUUAAGAACUUGCCUGGUACGUUUGGGGAAGAGCCACAGAAUCA